This 209-nucleotide long non-coding RNA is filed under the name Nicotiana benthamiana. RNAcentral describes it as "long non-coding RNA (NBEN_LNC004193)". Lineage: Eukaryota; Viridiplantae; Streptophyta; Magnoliopsida; Solanales; Solanaceae. The record is from RNAcentral.
UGUCGUAGGAGUGGCGGUACCUCAAACGCCUACGACUUCGACGAACUCAAAUUCGGGAACGAAAUCACACUAUGACUCGAUAUGUUUUUUUUGGUUUAAAGAAAAACAAUGCAGAAUUUUUUUUAAUGGUUCCAGUAUUCGAAAACGAGGCAUUGCCUCAGUUUAUAUAGCCUUGAAUUGAGACUGUUCGGAAAGGCUUGGUGCCUGUU